GACGAACGCUGGCGGCGUGCUUAAUACAUGCAAGUCAACGACUUUUAGAGUAGCAAUAUUCUAAAGGAAGUGGCGCACGGGUGAGUAACACGUAGGUAAUCUGCCUUCAGGACUGACACAACUCGUCGAAAGACGGGCUAAUAUCAGAUAAUGCAGCGGCUCCGCAUGGAGACAGUUGUUAAAGUACAAGCGCCUGAAGAUGAGCCUGCGGUCCAUUAGCUAGUUGGUAGAGUAAAAGCCUACCAAGGCAACGAUGGAUAGCUGGUCUGAGAGGAUGAUCAGCCACACUGGAACUGAGACACGGUCCAGACUCCUACGGGAGGCAGCAGUAAGGAAUAUUGCUCAAUGGCCGAAAGGCUGAAGCAGCAACGCCGCGUGAAGGAUGGAUGGCCUUGGCCUGUAAACUUCUGUAAAAAGGGAAAACAAGUACAGGUAUAUCCUGAUUGAUUGUACCUGGAGAAUAAGCUACCGGCUAACU
This 478-nucleotide ribosomal RNA is filed under the name uncultured bacterium. RNAcentral's name for it is "bacterial SSU rRNA". It matches the Rfam family "Bacterial small subunit ribosomal RNA", at positions 28 to 502 of the family's 1533-position model. The record is from RNAcentral.